RNAcentral lists this ribosomal RNA (483 nucleotides) under uncultured bacterium. RNAcentral's name for it is "SSU rRNA". It matches the Rfam family "Bacterial small subunit ribosomal RNA", at positions 26 to 518 of the family's 1533-position model. The record is from RNAcentral.
AGAACGAACGCUGGCGGCAUGCCUAACACAUGCAAGUCGAACGCUCUUGGGGCUUCGGUUCCAAGGGAGUGGCGCACGGGUGAGUAGCGCGUGGGAACCUGCCCUGGAGUGGGGGAUAACCGAGGGAAACUUCGGCUAAUACCGCAUGCGCCCGGGAAACCGGGGAAAGAUUUAUCGCUCUAGGAGGGGCCCGCGUCGGAUUAGCUUGUUGGUGGGGUAACGGCCUACCAAGGCGACGAUCCGUAGCUGGUCUGAGAGGACGAUCAGCCACACUGGGACUGAGACACGGCCCAGACUCCUACGGGAGGCAGCAGUGGGGAAUCUUGCACAAUGGGCGAAAGCCUGAUGCAGCGACGCCGCGUGAGGGAAGAAGGCUUUCGGGUUGUAAACCUCUUUCAGGAGGGACGAAGCUACUCGGGUUAAUAGCCCAGAGGGUGACGGUACCUCCAGAAGAAGCCCGGCUAACUACGUGCCAGCAGCCGC